Molecule: unclassified non-coding RNA, 305 nt
Filed under: uncultured fungus
Lineage: Eukaryota; Fungi
Description: partial contains small subunit ribosomal RNA, internal transcribed spacer 1, and 5.8S ribosomal RNA
Rfam family: Eukaryotic small subunit ribosomal RNA (bases 1-73)
Source: RNAcentral
GCAAACUUGGUCAUUUAGAGGAAGUAAAAGUCGUAACAAGGUUUCCGUAGGUGAACCUGCGGAAGGAUCAUUACCGAGUUAGGGUCCUCAUGGGCUCGACCUCCAACCCUUUGUCUACCAAACCUCUUGUUGCUUCGGCGGGUCCGUCCUUUGGACCGCCGGAGGGCUUAUCCCCUCUGGCCAGUACCCGUCGAUAGCCCUACAACCCAAACCUCUUGUCAAAAAUUUGUCUAAACAGUUAUUGUUAAUAACGAAAAACUUUCAACAACGGAUCUCUUGGUUCUGGCAUCGAUGAAGAACGCAGC